Molecule: ribosomal RNA, 468 nt
Filed under: uncultured bacterium
Lineage: Bacteria
Description: partial 16S ribosomal RNA
Rfam family: Bacterial small subunit ribosomal RNA
Source: RNAcentral
GAUGAACGCCGGCGGCGUGCUUAACACAUGCAAGUCGAACGGAAAGGCCCUGCUUUUGUGGGGUGCUCGAGUGGCGAACGGGUGAGUAACACGUGAGUAACCUGCCCUUGACUUUGGGAUAACUUCAGGAAACUGGGGCUAAUACCGGAUAGGAGCUCCUGCUGCAUGGUGGGGGUUGGAAAGUUUCGGCGGUUGGGGAUGGACUCGCGGCUUAUCAGCUUGUUGGUGGGGUAGUGGCUUACCAAGGCUUUGACGGGUAGCCGGCCUGAGAGGGUGACCGGCCACAUUGGGACUGAGAUACGGCCCAGACUCCUACGGGAGGCAGCAGUGGGGAAUAUUGCACAAUGGGCGGAAGCCUGAUGCAGCAACGCCGCGUGCGGGAUGACGGCCUUCGGGUUGUAAACCGCUUUCGCCUGUGACGAAGCGUGAGUGACGGUAAUGGGUAAAGAAGCACCGGCUAACUACGUG